This is a long non-coding RNA of Rhopalosiphum padi (bird cherry-oat aphid), 1451 nucleotides long. RefSeq lists it as uncharacterized. Lineage: Eukaryota; Metazoa; Arthropoda; Insecta; Hemiptera; Aphididae. The record is from RefSeq and is a predicted model, not a curated record. The transcript has 2 exons.
GAAAUACAGAAUGAUGAACUACCUACUUAUGAGGAACCUUUUAUUAAGUUUUUAUGACUUAGUUAUAAAAAUUGAACAUUUUAAUACUUUUUCAAUUACUAAAGUUUACAAAUGUUUGUGAUUUUAACGAGUUUUGUCAAACUAAUUAAACUUAAGAUGCUUUUUAAAAAAAUUCGCUCCCUUGCAUCUUUAAUAUUUUUGAAUAGCUAAGUAAUUACAUUUAUAUGGAACAAGCAGUUUAAACAGAAAACAUUUUUUAUCGACAUUCGACGUUAUAAGAAAAACUUUAAAACUGCUAAUGUUUAAAAACAAUAAAAACAAAAAUUAUAAAUAACUAAAAAUACCCCAAAAGCCCAAAAGUGACAAAAAUAGUUAGGUAGGUGGGUACAUGCCUCGAUGGUUGAUAAUUCUUGAUAUGCGCAGGUGACAGGUCUGAUAAAAAAAAAAAUUCUUCUCGAGACUUCAACGAUUAUUAUCUACAUAUUAUUUUGUGCUCGCACAAAUAUGACAGAUAAUAUUAUCUUAAAUCGUGAUACUAUAUUUAAUAUUUAUGUACUAUGUGCUUUGAGUACUUUGACCGUUCGACCAUAAACGUUAAUAAUACACGUUAUUAACUAUCGUUUAGUUAAGUACCUAUCGCUUGUUUGUAAAUAAUAAACUUUUAUUAUAUAUAUUAUAUCAUGUAUGGUUCUUACAAAAUUUGUUACUAGAAUCGUAGCAUACGAGUGAACUAGGGUCGAUAAAAAUCCCUGUACCUUUUGCCAUUUAAUAAUAUUCGUCGUACGAGCACGAACAGCCGAACGUCUUGGUCCAUGCGCAUCCAACAACUGAAGAAAACUACCAUCAGCUGCGACUCUGGCCCCCAUUAUUCCAUUUCGCAGUCUCCUCCUUGUCAGUCGUCAUGUCAAAUGACCUGAAUCGACUCCGGCUGCUGGAGAGUGUGUUCAAUAGAGUGACAGAGUUUGCCCGGACUGUGCACAGCAUACUGCCCACCAUCAGAGAGUGUGUUGAACUGCACGAGAGACUGUUAGACUCUAUCGGUCGUAUCCUAUCCCUGUUGCGGCUCAUACGUGACGGUCUUGUCGAACAAACGCCUGGGUUGACAAACGGACGGUCGAAGGGCUGACGGAUAGGUGAUACUAUCCGGAGUCAAUACGACUAUUCCUAAGAGCUCAAUUUGGUCACUUAGAUGCAAUAUUAGAAACUUCUUAGAUAACGCAUAUCAAAUGUGCAGUCAGUAUUGUUUGAGGUAGUUUACAGUUAUCAUAUUUUUUUAUAAAAGUUUAAAUUCUAAGUAUUGUAAAAAAAUAAAAUGAAGACUGGUGAUGUUUAAUUGGACAAAUUAAUUUAUGGCUACUGUAUUUUUAUUAUUUUUUUCUAAAUUUAAAAUAAUUGUUUAUGUUUAAGGUUGUUAAUUGAUUAUAUAAUAAUAUAAUAUAUUCCCUAUUGUA